GAUGAACGCUAGCUACAGGCUUAACACAUGCAAGUCGAGGGACCGGCGCACGGGUGAGUCACACGUAUCCAACCUGCCCUUUCCCCGGGGAUAGCCUUUCGAAAGAAAGAUUAAUACCCUAUGUAAAGGAUGGGGAUGCGUUCCAUUAGGUUGUUGGUGAUGUAACGGCUCACCAAGCCUUCGAUUGUGAGGGGUUCUGAGAGGAAGGUCCCCCACAUUGGAACUGAGACACGGUCCAAACUCCUACGGGAGGCAGCAGUGAGGAAUAUUGGUCAAUGGGCGUUAGCCUGAACCAGCCAAGUAGCGUGAAGGAUGAAGGCUUAUGGGUCGUAAACUUCUUUUAUAUAAGAAUAUGUAUUAUAUGAAUAAGGAUCGGCUAACUCCGUGCCAGCCGCCGCGGUAAUUC
This 406-nucleotide ribosomal RNA is filed under the name uncultured bacterium. Its description in RNAcentral is "partial 16S ribosomal RNA". It matches the Rfam family "Bacterial small subunit ribosomal RNA", at positions 28 to 526 of the family's 1533-position model. The record is from RNAcentral.